CGCGUAGGCGGAUGGCACAGUCAGAUGUGAAAUUCCUGGGCUUAACCUGGGGGCUGCAUUUGAUACGUGUUGUCUAGAGUGAGGAAGAGGGUCGUGGAAUUCCCAGUGUAGAGGUGAAAUUCGUAGAUAUUGGGAAGAACACCGGUGGCGAAGGCGGCGACCUGGUCCUUGACUGACGCUGAGGCGCGAAAGCGUGGGGAGCAAACAGGAUUAGAUACCCUGGUAGUCCACGCUGUAAACGAUGUGUGCUGGAUGUUGGGUGACCUAGUCGCUCAGUGUCGUAGCUAACGCGAUAAGCACACCGCCUGGGGAUACGGCCGCAAGGUUGAA
Molecule: ribosomal RNA, 330 nt
Filed under: uncultured bacterium
Lineage: Bacteria
Description: bacterial SSU rRNA
Rfam family: Bacterial small subunit ribosomal RNA
Source: RNAcentral